Molecule: non-coding RNA, 103 nt
Organism: Infundibulicybe gibba
Lineage: Eukaryota; Fungi; Basidiomycota; Agaricomycetes; Agaricales; Omphalinaceae
Source: the annotation of a GenBank genome assembly
GCCUCCUUGGCUCAGUUGGCUAGAGCGCAGGUCUCAUACCAGAGUAUGAUGUGCUCAGAGCACAGUGAUCCUGAGGUCGCAAGUUCGAGCCUUGCAGGGGGCA